RNAcentral lists this ribosomal RNA (465 nucleotides) under uncultured bacterium. RNAcentral describes it as "partial 16S ribosomal RNA". It matches the Rfam family "Bacterial small subunit ribosomal RNA", at positions 28 to 507 of the family's 1533-position model. The record is from RNAcentral.
GACGAACGCUGGCGGCGUGCUUAACACAUGCAAGUCGAACGGAAAGGCCCUGCUUGCAGGGUACUCGAGUGGCGAACGGGUGAGUAACACGUGGGUGAUCUGCCCUGCACUUCGGGAUAAGCCUGGGAAACUGGGUCUAAUACCGGAUAGGAGCCAUUUUUAGUGUGAUGGUUGGAAAGUUUUUUCGGUGUAGGAUGAGCUCGCGGCCUAUCAGCUUGUUGGUGGGGUAAUGGCCUACCAAGGCGGCGACGGGUAGCCGGCCUGAGAGGGUGGACGGCCAAAUUGGGACUGAGAUACGGCCCAGACCCCUACGGGAGGCAGCAGUGGGGAAUAUUGCACAAUGGGCGCAAGCCUGAUGCAGCGACGCCGCGUGGGGGAUGACGGCCUUCGGGUUGUAAACUCCUUUCGCUAGGGACGAAGCUUUUUGUGACGGUACCUAGAUAAGAAGCACCGGCUAACUACGUG